CUUGUCUGCCGGGCAGCGGGUAGUAAGGUCACGGUGGUCAAGCUCUGGGCUCCAGCGACUCAGGCCCUUCCUCUGCACCCGAUGGUCACCACAGGGACUGCGUCAUCCCCACCCCACGGAUGCCACCUGGAGCCACGGCCAGGCCAAAGCAGUCCCCGUGGUGGUCUGGCUCCGGCCCAUGCCAUCCGGUGCCCGACAUCCUGUGGCUCCCACAGCUGGCCCUCAGCUCCUAGCAGGGCACCCCCAGGUGAGUGUCCCCCACGGACGCUCCCAGGGCCCCCACCUGCUCUCAAAGGCUGCACCCUAGGGCUCAGAGCCCAUGGCGUCCAGGUGCCCCAGACCUGUACCCCCACCAAAGCUGGGUCCACCCCCUGUUGACCACACAAUGCUCCAGCCACUGGGAACGUGGCUAGUCUCAGCUGAGAUGCAGCCCAAGUGUGGCGUCCACAUUGGCUAGACAAAGAAGGUGGGGUCCCUGGCUGACGCUUCUUUCAUACUGAUGACGUGAUGAGAUGGUAGCAGGACCCGCUGGACCUGAGUGUCCUGCUCAUCAGUUUCUCCUCUUCUUUUAAAAAACUGACCCCCAGGCAACCUGGGCCCACACAGGGGCGUGGGUCCAGCUGUUGCUUCCCCGUGGACAGUGAUACUCUGAGCCAGCCCAGUGUCCCAGGUCCCCAACACCCUCUCCAGGCCCAAACUCCCUGCGUCUGAGGGCAGCUGCCGCCCCUCUCCCAGCCCCCCAGGACCUGCCAAGCCAGCACCCGGCCUGCAGAUCCAUGUGCCAGGAUCGAGGGCUGCAGCCAGGGGCACUGGGGCCCUGACCCCUGCAGCACGCUGAGCGGGAACAACCCCGUCCUCUGUCGGGGGUGGUUCCCUCUGUGAGGGGCUUGGGGGGUGGGCCUGGGGGUCCAAGGGACCCCAGGCUGGCUGUGCGGCUACCAGAUGCUGAGUCCACGGGCCCCCUGUGCGGUUCUGGCUCAUGGUGAUGAGACGGGCAGAGCAGCUCACAGCCCUGUCCCCAGGCAAGGACGGCAAGGCUCCCAAGCCACUGCACCAAGGGCAGCAGGUGGGACUCAGGCCAAAGUCUGGGGGACACGCCAUGGCCCACGUUGUCCUGGGCUCCCAGACUUUCCUCAGGAACCUCUCCUCAGAAAUGACAUCACGUCCACGAGCCGCCAGAAUGAGCCCAAGCCACAGCAAAGUCCCCGAGAAUGCUAAGGCCCAGGCCUAGGGCACACGCACCUGUUGUUCACUUGUUCUUCUGUCCGUCCAUCUGUCCACCCAUCCAUCCGUGUCUACCUAUUCAUCCAUCCACCCAUAUCCAUCCAUCCAUCAUCCAUCCAUCCACCAUCCACCCAUCCAUCCAUCUCUUCAUCAUCUACCCAUCCAUCAUCUACCCAUCCAUCCAUCAUCUAUCCAUCCAUCAUCCACCCAUCCAUCCAUCAUCUAUCAUCCAUCCACCAUCCACCCAUCCAUCCAUCCAUCAUCCAUCCACCCAUCCAUCAUCCACCCAUCCAUCAUCCAUCCAUCCAUCCAUCAUCUAUCAUCCAUCCACCAUACACCCAUCCAUCCAUCAUCCAUCCAUCCAUCAUCCAUCCAUCAUCCACCCAUCCAUCCAUCAUCCAUCCACCCAUCUAUCCAAUCAUCCAUUUGUUCAUCAUCUACCCAUCCAUCAUCUAUCAUCCAUCCACCAUCCAUCCAUCUAUCCAUCAUCUACCCAUUCAUUAUCCAUAUACCAUCCAUCCAUCUCUCCAUCCGUCCAUCCAUCCCUCCGCCCAUCCAUCCAUCAUCCAUCAUCCAUCCACCCAUCUAUCCAUCAUCCAUCCACCCGACAUCCAUCCAUCUGUUCAUCAUCCACCCAUCCAUCCAUCAUCUAUCAUCCAUCCACCAUCCACCCAUCUGUCCAUCAUCCACCCAUCCAUUAUCCACCCAUCCAUCCAUCAUCUAUCAUCCAUCCACCAUCCACCCAUCUGUCCAUCAUCCACCCAUCCAUCCAUUAUCCAUACACCAUCUAUCCAUCCCUCCAUCCAUCCAUCCGUCCAUCCAUCUGUCCAUCAUCCAUCUAUCCAUCUACCCUUCCAUCCAUCAUCCAUCCACCCAUUCACCCAUCAUCCAUCCUUCCAGCUAUCUACCCAUCCAUCCACCCACCAUCCACCCAUCCAUCCACCAUCCAUCCAUCUACCAUCCAUCCAUCCGUCUUCCACUCCUUCUUGGGGGGUUGUGGUUGACAGUGGACCCUGGAGCAGGACUGUCUGGAGUUUGAAUCCUGGUCCUGCCACACACGAGCUGAGCAGGACAGGUAACCUUACCUCUGCACGCCUCCGUGUCACCCAUCUCAAACAAGGGGAUGACCUUAGCUCACGGAGGCCUUGGGAGGGGAGGCUCAGCUUCCUCCUCCUCUGACCUGCUGUGGACUGUGGGCCUCAGGACAAGGGGUCUGCCAAUCAGCCUCGGCCUCCUCUGUGCCACGGGGGUGAAGCUGCUCCUGCCUGCACUCAGAGGACCCCUUAGAGCCCCGGGGGGAGAGAAAGUGCUUGCAGAGCAGCCCGGGAGGGGCGGGCUGCUUCUCCAAGGGGUGGAGUGGCCGGGUACAGUGACAGCAUCUCCUGCUGCCCCCGUCCUGCAGCUGGGCCUCUGCUAUGGCGAGCACAGGCGCAGCUCCUCCACCAAGUCCCCUGGGGGGACCUCAGCCCCUUCACCACCGAGACCUACACAAGCGUCCCCACAGCCCCAGCCAUCAGCGCCCCUGCUCUGAGGUUGGGUCCCAGGUCCCUGGGGUCCCCUGCUCUUCUGGCCCCAGAGGUCCGGUGCCUCCUGCAGGUGCCUCCUGUGUCACCUGAGUCCCUCUUCUGCCUUUCGGCUCCACGCCCUGCCUCUUUCUGCCUGGGGCUGCCCCGGCCGGGAGCCGAGCUGCCACCACCCAGGGGCAGCCAGGGCCAGGAGGCUGCCGAGCCCCCACCCCAGCACAGAGGGAG
RNAcentral lists this long non-coding RNA (2975 nucleotides) under Marmota monax (woodchuck). The record is from RNAcentral. Lineage: Eukaryota; Metazoa; Chordata; Mammalia; Rodentia; Sciuridae.